GACAGAGGUGCCAAGCGUUAGGCGGAAUCACUGGGCUUAAAGCGUGUGUAGGCGGAACGUUAAGUGCCUUGUGAAAUCCCACGGCUCAACCGUGGAACUGCUGGGCAUACUGGCGAUCUUGAGGCAUUCAGGGGCGAGCGGAACAAGUGGUGGAGCGGUGAAAUGCGUAGAUAUCACUUGGAACGCCAAUGGUGAAAACAGCUCGCUGGGAAUGAUCUGACACUGAGACGCGAAAGCCAGGGGAGCGAACGGG
Molecule: ribosomal RNA, 253 nt
Filed under: uncultured bacterium
Lineage: Bacteria
Description: partial 16S ribosomal RNA
Rfam family: Bacterial small subunit ribosomal RNA
Source: RNAcentral